This 498-nucleotide ribosomal RNA is filed under the name uncultured bacterium. Its description in RNAcentral is "partial 16S ribosomal RNA". It matches the Rfam family "Bacterial small subunit ribosomal RNA", at positions 355 to 867 of the family's 1533-position model. The record is from RNAcentral.
UGGGGAAUAUUGCACAAUGGGCGAAAGCCUGAUGCAGCAACGCCGCGUGAGUGAUGAAGGUCUUCGGAUUGUAAAGCUCUGUCUUUUGGGACGAUAAUGACGGUACCAAAGGAGGAAGCCACGGCUAACUACGUGCCAGCAGCCGCGGUAAUACGUAGGUGGCGAGCGUUGUCCGGAUUUACUGGGCGUAAAGGGUGCGUAGGCGGAUGUUUAAGUGAGAUGUGAAAUACCCGGGCUUAACUUGGGUGCUGCAUUUCAAACUGGAUAUCUAGAGUGCAGGAGAGGAGAAUGGAAUUCCUAGUGUAGCGGUGAAAUGCGUAGAGAUUAGGAAGAACACCAGUGGCGAAGGCGAUUCUCUGGACUGUAACUGACGCUGAGGCACGAAAGCGUGGGUAGCAAACAGGAUUAGAUACCCUGGUAGUCCACGCCGUAAAACGAUGAGUACUAGGUGUAGGAGGUAUCGACCCCUUCUGUGCCGCAGUAAAACACAUUAAGCAC